AAAAAGGCAAACAUUGGUUUUGCGUGUCUAACUUUGACUGUCCGUCUUAUAUAAAAAAAUUUUAUAAUUCGUAUUUUCAUUGUUGUUAGAUGAUAAAACAUGAUAAAUAUUUUAUGCGUGACUUGUCUUUUUAAUUUUUUUCGUAAUUUUUUCAAAUAAGACGAACGAUCAAACGUUGGACACGGAAACCAAGGUUUGUUUUUUUU
Oryza nivara is the source of this 206-nucleotide non-coding RNA. The record is from Rfam. NCBI's taxonomy places the organism in Eukaryota, Viridiplantae, Streptophyta, Magnoliopsida, Poales, Poaceae.